UGGGGAAUAUUGCACAAUGGGCGCAAGCCUGAUGCAGCCAUGCCGCGUGUAUGAAGAAGGCCUUCGGGUUGUAAAGUACUUUCAGCGGGGAGGAAGGGAGUAAAGUUAAUACCUUUGCUCAUUGACGUUACCCGCAGAAGAAGCACCGGCUAACUCCGUGCCAGCAGCCGCGGUAAUACGGAGGGUGCAAGCGUUAAUCGGAAUUACUGGGCGUAACGCGCACGCAGGCGGUUUGUUAAGUCAGAUGUGAAAUCCCCGGGCUCAACCUGGGAACUGCAUCUGAUACUGGAAAGCUUGAGUCUCGUAGAGGGGGGUAGAAUUCCAGGUGUAGCGGUGAAAUGCGUAGAGAUAUGGAGGAAUACCGGUGGCGAAGGCGGCCCCCUGGACGAAGACUGACGCUAAGGUGCGAAAGCGUGGGGAGCAAACAGG
RNAcentral lists this ribosomal RNA (429 nucleotides) under Fusobacteriota bacterium. RNAcentral describes it as "Fusobacteria bacterium partial 16S ribosomal RNA". It matches the Rfam family "Bacterial small subunit ribosomal RNA", at positions 355 to 776 of the family's 1533-position model. Lineage: Bacteria; Fusobacteriati; Fusobacteriota. The record is from RNAcentral.